Boleophthalmus pectinirostris (great blue-spotted mudskipper) is the source of this 3207-nucleotide RNA transcript. It is a transcript of the gene named Raf-1 proto-oncogene, serine/threonine kinase a, with no coding region annotated. The record is from RefSeq and is a predicted model, not a curated record. Lineage: Eukaryota; Metazoa; Chordata; Actinopteri; Gobiiformes; Gobiidae. The transcript is spliced from 19 exons.
CUGCGCGGAGUGGGUGAUGCUUGCAGGGGCAGCAGCGCUUGUUAUGACUCUAGGUCCAGUUUCAAUCACUGGCGUCAGACGGACUCUUACCUCUUUCCACCUUCUCUUUUACGGUGGAUAUCGACGGAAAACCGAAGCGCCCGAGUAACUCUGAGUCGUUUUACUGUGAAAAGCGCUCCACGGGACUUAAGACCUCUUGCGCGUGUUACUUUGAGGUCAGGCGGAUUUUUUGGUGUUUACCGUGAAUAGUAAAGUAUACAUUUGUCUUAUCGUUUUUCGAGAUGCUUUUAUAAUACAGUUAUAUUAUUGUACCUUACGGCAGUUUCAGUCUGGAGUUAAUUUUUGUCGCAUUUGCACGCUUUAUUUAGACUUGUGACUUUUUCCUCCUCGCUUUGAAUGCGUUGCAAAUAUGAUGUCACCGACGCCACUUUUUCCUGAAGUUAUGGCGGAGCACAACUUUUCUUACUUCUCUUGACCAUUGAUCGCACUUGGCUGUUCUAAUGGAGCACCUUCAGGGAGCGUGGAAGUCCCUGAGUAACGGGUUCAGUAUGAAGGACCCUGCGUUUGAGAACCCCUGCCUGUCGCCCACCAUGGUCCAAGGCUUCCCCUGCCACCGCCGCUCCUCCGAUGACAGCAAAAUGCCUGAUUCCAAGACAAGCAGCACAAUCCGUGUCUACCUCCCAAAUCAGCAGCGCACUGUGGUAAAUGUGCGACCUGGUAUGACUUUGCACAGUUGCCUGAUUAAAGCCUUAAAGGUCAGAGGUCUGCAGCCCCAAUGCUGUGCUGUUUUUAAAUUGCAUCCGGCACAGGGAAGUAAAAAGCUACGAAUGGAUUGGAACACUGACUCCACUUCUUUAAUUGGUGAAGAGCUACUUGUGGAAGUUUUAGAUCAUGUGCCCUUGACAACUCAUAAUUUUGUUCGUAAGACAUAUUUGAAGUUAGCCUUUUGCGAUAUUUGCCAGAAGUUCCUCAUUAAUGGCUUUCGUUGCCAAACCUGUGGCUAUAAAUUUCAUGAACACUGCAGCACCAAAGUCCCAACGAUGUGUGUCGACUGGAGCAACAUAAGACAGCUUCUGUUAUGUCCAACACCUGGAGAGGGCAGUGCUCCGUCUCUUCCACCAAUGACUUUUCGAAGAAUGAGGGAAUCUUUAACCAGGAUUCCAAGCUCCGCUCACAGAUACUCUACGCCUCACGCCUUCAACUACAACACAUCUUAUGCAUCUCCGGGGGGCGCUCUUUCUCAAAGGCAACGCUCCACCUCCACACCCAAUGUCCACAUGGUCAGCACCACCCUGCCCAUCGACAGCAGCAUGAUGGAGCUAGACGGCCUGAAUGCCUCUUCCAGCUCCUGGUGUCAUAGAUUCUGGCUCAAGAGGAAAGUAGGUAUAGUGCACUUCUCCCAGUCAUUUGCUGAGGCCACACCCGAGAUUUCCGACAAGGAUGCCAUGUGUGAUCACAACUCGGCAGGUAGCUCUCCCAACCAGAGCCCCACUGGCUGGGCCCAGUCCAAAACCCCUGCUCCUGCACAGCGUGAGAGAGCUCCUUCUCUCAACACUCAGGAAAAAAAUAAAAUUAGACCUCGAGAUAAGCGGGAUUCCAGUUACUACUGGGAGAUUGAGGCCAGUGAGGUGUAUCUGCACUCCUGUAUUGGAUCAGGCUCUUUUGGAACUGUAUACAAAGGGAAAUGGCAUGGUGAUGUAGCAGUGAAAAUUUUAAAGGUCAAAGAUCCUACCCCUGAACAGUUUCAAGCUUUCAGAAAUGAGGUGGCCGUUUUGCGGAAAACGCGACACGUCAAUAUCCUGUUGUUUAUGGGCUAUAUGACAAAAGACAACCUGGCCAUAGUGACACAGUGGUGUGAAGGGAGCAGCCUUUACAAGCACAUUCAUGUUCUGGAGACCAAUUUCCAGAUGAUCCAACGAAUAGACAUCGCCAGGCAAACUGCACAGGGCAUGGACUAUUUGCAUGCAAAGAACAUCAUCCAUCGUGAUAUGAAGUCCAACAACAUCUUUUUGCAUGAUGGAUUAACAGUUAAAAUAGGGGACUUUGGUCUUGCAACUGUAAAAACAAGAUGGAGUGGUUCACAUCAAGUGGAGCAGCCCUCAGGAUCUAUCCUCUGGAUGGCCCCUGAAGUGAUUCGAAUGCAGGACAACAAUCCGUACAGCUUCCAGUCUGACGUCUAUUCCUAUGGAAUUGUGCUCUUUGAACUCAUGACUGGAGAGCUCCCAUAUUCUCAAAUCGCAAACAGGGAUCAGAUCAUCUUUAUGGUGGGCAGAGGCUACCUAUCUCCAGACCUUAGUAAGCUCUUCAAGAGUUGUCCCAAAGCCAUGAAAAGACUGGUCGCCGACUGCAUCAAAAAAUCCAAAGAUGAAAGACCUCUUUUUCCACAGAUCUUGUCAUCCAUCGAGCUCCUCCAGCACGCUCUUCCUAAGAUAAACCGCAGUGCCUCGGAGCCGUCCCUGCACCGAGCGGCCCAUGCAGAGGACAUGAACACCUGCACCCUGACCUACACCAGGCUGCCUGUGUUCUAAAGACUGCACUAACCCCAUCACCUCCGCCCUUUUGAUGACCCAAAGGCAAUACACCAAAAGCGAUACACGAAACUACCGCAGACUGUAGCUUAUCAAUGUGGAUACUGUCAAAUGUCCUUAUGGAUAUGGACCUGCAGGGACAAUGCGUCAGAGAUUAUCUAUGAAGGCAAACUGAACCCACACAUGAAGAUGGGCAGGAUCAUGGUUAAGAAGGUGCCUUACUGUUGUCUUCCCUGGUCAUGGUUACAACAUUGUAAAUACAUUCACGUACUGUACAUCUACCUAAAGACGGCACAAACGGACUUUAAAGGAAGAUGGGUCAGUCCGUCCGGAGAAGGAAUCCUGCACAAAACUGUCCAUUGUCUCGUUGGGUCCUAUUGGAGCAGUACGAGUAUGGAAUGGAAGACUUUGAAUUUGCACAUUUUUGCAAAAGCAAUGGUUUUAAAUCAGCAGUUCUUUCUCUGUAGUAAAUGGAGGUGUAGAUACCACACACUUUUGGUCCUUCCUCUGCUUUUUCAUGAGCUGGACUGUUGCUGUUGUCUUAAAUAUUUAAAUCACAUGGAGACUAACAUGUACUGUCUAUCAUGUCUCUUUCAAGAGGAUAAACAUAUUCUAUAACUGGGCGAGAAUGUUCUCUAUUCACUAUUUUAAUAAAAUUAAGUUAAAUUUUUGUGCCAAA